ACUUCCGGGUCGUUGUAUCCUAGAAAGUAGUUCUUUGAAAUUUUGAAGUUCCCAAUUUAACGCUAUCCCUACUUUGACAUGUUAUAUUCCAAAUGUAUUUAUUGAUACUGUGUACAUUUUUUGUCAUUUCUGAUGUCUUUAACAGUUGUUUUAUGUGUGUUUUUCAGGAUUACAUUUCUGUGCGGAAGGAUUAAAAAACUACACCAGACUGGUGGCCAUGACAGAUGUCAGUGGGAAACUUAAACAUGGACUAGAUACUUUGAUGUGUAGCAAAAAAGUUCAUCGUUGAUGGUGGUGUUUUUCUGUGAUAUAUUGACUGGGAUAGUAUUACUCUUCAGAAAUACAGAGCUGUCAAUGCUGCAAUUUUGUUGUGAAAUUCACAAUCCAUGUCCAAAAAUGCUUGUUUUACUAUACAGCAAAGAAGGAGAAAUUGUACCGGGCCGACACCUAUAUGGCAAAUUCAGAAAAUGGAAUAUCUCAGCAACCAUAGGGUUUACAGUCAUGAAACUUCACACACUAGUAGCUGAUAACAAUACAAAUCAGUGGCUAAAAGGAUAUUUCCAAGGCGAUGAAUUCCAUAUGUCAGUAGGAAUUUAGAAUCGUACAACCAGUCAGCAGCUACCCAUAAACCAGACCAACCUAUUAAGUCGAGCGGGCAGAAGCUGUGAUUCCCAGUGUUACACCGCAGAAUGACGGCUAGUUUUCGGAUUACAUUUCUGUGCGGAAGGAUUAAAAAACUACACCAGACUGGUGGCCAUGACAGAUGUCAGUGGGAAAUUUAAACAUGGACUAGAUACUUUGAUGUGUAGCAAAAAAGUUCAUCGUUGAUGGUGGUGUUUUUCUGUGAUAUAUUGACUGGGAUAGUAUUACUCUUCAGAAAUACAGAGCUGUCAAUGCUGCAAUUUUGUUGUGAAAUUCACAAUCCAUGUCCAAAAAUGCUUGUUUUACCAUACAGCAAAGAAGGAGAAAUUGUACCGGGCCGACACCUUUACUGUAUAUAUUUUGUAAC
Long non-coding RNA from Mercenaria mercenaria, 1009 nucleotides. RefSeq lists it as uncharacterized. Lineage: Eukaryota; Metazoa; Mollusca; Bivalvia; Venerida; Veneridae. The record is from RefSeq and is a predicted model, not a curated record. The transcript is spliced from 3 exons.